GCGCAGCAGUCGCGAAUUUUUCACAAUGGACGAAAGUCUGAUGGAGCGACGCCGCGUGGAGGAUGAAGGUUCUUGGAUUGUAAACUCCUGUCACUGCAGAACAAGGGUGCGCUCGUUAAUAGCAAGCGCAUUUGAUGGUAUGCGGAGAGGAAGGGACGGCUAACUCUGUGCCAGCAGCCGCGGUAAGACAGAGGUCCCGAGCGUUGUUCGGAUCCAUUGGGCGUAAAGGGUGUGUAGGAGGUCGGGUAAGUCAGGUGUGAAAUCUCAGAGCUUAACUCUGAAACUGCGCUUGAUACUGCUCGGCUAGAGGAUCGGAGGGGGUAACGGAAUUUAUGGUGUAGCAGUGAAAUGCGUAGAUAUCAUAAGGAACACCGGUGGCGAAGGCGGUUACCUGGAAGAUUCCUGACUCUGAAACACGAAAGCCAGGGGAG
This 431-nucleotide ribosomal RNA is filed under the name uncultured organism. RNAcentral's name for it is "bacterial SSU rRNA". It matches the Rfam family "Bacterial small subunit ribosomal RNA", at positions 346 to 768 of the family's 1533-position model. The record is from RNAcentral.